UAAAAUAAAAAAAAAUUUAAAAAUCAGAUAUCCUUUUAGUAAAUACUCCGAUUCGGAUCCGGAAUAUCUGCCUUGGCAGUGUUGGUGGUGGUCGUAUGUAGCGGUGUGAGGAUGAACUGUAGAUCGCUCUGCCAUUCGUCAAAACUGCCAUCAUCGGUGGGCUGAGUGGAAUGUUUUGGUAGGCCAAAGUUGAUGAAUAUGUGAUCGGGUGGGAAGUAAUAUGGAGUUAAUAAUUAAUUUCUAAGAAUUCUUUAGAACUUUUGUAGUCUUAAAAGAGCAGAGAUAGUCAUGGAUAGCUGAAAUCCUACCCCAUUCUAAAGACCUUAUCUAUGUCUUAGACUGCUGAAAUCCUCUCGCUUACCAGAACCUAUCAUUCCAAGGAACAAUUUAGAGCCGGGGGACUUUUUGGUCGCAUCCUCCUUUAUGGGGUUGCCGUUUUUCUUCCCUUCCCAAAUCCUGAUCAUAGUUUUCUAUGAGCGGAAUACACUGGAUACGAUGAUGAUGAUGAUGAUGAUGAGAUGGUCAUCGACUAUUUUGUUUGUAUACAAACUGUGAACUGAGCUGGAAAAAUCAAAUUGCAAAAAAACUGAACCGACCAAAAAUCAGCUCAAAAUGGUUUUAGACUUUGGUGAGCGAUGGCGAUUAAAGAAGAAAGAAGAAUGAGAGUGUGAUAAUGGUUGCAAUUGGUGGUGAAGGCGAAGCAUUCUUAGUGAUGACGGAGGUGGGUGAAGUUUCUCAAUGAUGAUGGCUUGUGUGUUACAAAAAAUUUGUAAAAUUGUAGACAAAUCAGUAAAAUGAUGGAUCAUUUUAAGUAGUUUUUCUUAUAAAAAUUUAAAUUAUAAGAAAUACUCCCUUCGUUUAUUAAAUAACUUUUAUUUGUCAUUUUUGAAUGUUUUAUUUAAUGUUUUCAUAAUGAAUCUUUCUAUUUGUAUCACAAAUUUGGACAUUAAAAUAAUCCUCAUUUUAAUAUUUUAAUAAUGCCUAUAUUCCCCACAUAUUUUCCAUUAAUUUAAUUUUAACAAAUUUAUAUUAUUUAUGGUCCCCACAUAUUUUUAACUAAUUUUAUUAAAACAUCUUUUUAUUAGUUGUGGUCUCCAUAUUUUUUCACUAACUUUCUUUUAAUAAUUUUUAAAUGUUUAUGGUCCUAAUUUUCUUCAAUUAAAUUUAUUAUUCAAUAAAUAAUAUAUUCAAAAACUAAAGAUUUUAUUUUUAUUAAUUCUCGUGAACAUUUCUUGUGGGAACUGUAUUAAGGAAUGGAAGAAGUAUAUGUUAAAAUCAUAUGUAUCGUGACAAAUGUAAUAGGAUCACACAUUGAUACUCCAUAUUUUAACUUUUUUAUAUCCAUUAAAAAUCAUGAGUAGCAUUUUUAUCUCUUAAACAUGGAAUAUUUGAAAAGUAUCCAGCAAUAUAAAAUAGAGAGAGUAAUAUACAAAUAAUUAUAGUAGUACUAUUAUUACUUUUUAUAAUUAUAUCUAUCUCAUAUUAAAAAUAAUUUUUUUAUCAAAAUGAAACAUUUUUCUUUGUUAUUUAUUUAAGGAAAAAUUACCGUGAAUGAUAUGAACUUUAAUUAAUUUCCCUACAAUAAUACGAACUUUUAAUUAACCUGAAAUAAUACCAACUUUGACGUACGUUUUCCCAUAGCAUUCAAAUUCACAUGCAACCUGUAAAACAGGUAAUUCUACCCUACAAAAAAGAUAAUUUUAUUUAAAGAAAAAUAAUUUCCAAUCCCCUCUUUACUCUCCAGCUAUGCACCACCCCCUCCCCUUCCCCUGCGACGGCGCCCCCCACCCAACGAGGCUCAACAACCCAUAUCUGCUACACCAAUUUAAUAAUGGUGGUCAAUUUUGAUGGUCGAAUUUGGUAGUGGAAAGGUAGAUUAAAGAUUAUGUUGGAUUGAAUUUGGGAUGGUUAUGGUGGUGGUUCACAUUUAGGGUGGGUGGUUAUGGUGGUUGUUUGUGGAGGUCGCAUCAGGGGAAAGGAGGUGAGGAAGGCUGCACAGGGCGCUGUUUAUGGGAGGCCGAUUGGUGGUGGUGGAGUGGAGGGAAGGGUUUGAUGGUGGUUGAAAAUAGAGGGGGAUAGGGGCUGCACAAAGGAUGGGGAGUUGGAUUCGGUGGUGGAUUUUGAUGAAGAUGUGGUGGCUGGAAGUGGGUGGGGAAUGGGAGUGACAGUGAGCGGGAAACGGUGGUAGUUGUGGCCUGUGGGGGAUGGGGGCUGGAGGUUGGGCUAGGGAUAGGGAAAGGGUACGGUGAGGAUUAGGAAUUCAUGUUCUUUAUUUUUUCUUUUUAACCUUAAAAAAGGUGUUGAAGCUAAAUUUUUAACCUUAAAAGUAUGCUUGCAUCUGUGUUAAUAUUUAAAAAGAGAAGAAAAGUCAAAUUAUGAAAAUAAAAAAGAUGAUAAUAUGAUACAAGGGUAAUAGAAGAUUAUCAUUUUAUUUUAGGGACAAAUAUUCAAUAUGUUUUACCUUCAAAAUGAAAGGAUUAAUUUUUCAACUUGUCUUUCUCCAUCCAUCGCUUUAUAACCAUUUAUUACUGACAAUUAUAUAUUUUUUUAUUUUAUGCUCUAAUAAUACUCUCUUUUAGUUUAAUAUUUAUUCCCCCAUAGAUAUUUACAUUGUAUAAAAACCUAGUCUUGUAAAUACAAAAUCAUGCACAUAGGACAAAUCAAGGAUUGGUUUGGGGUAUAUUAUAUGACUCCUAACUCUAUAUGUUUUACAUUAAAAAUUAAAAAUUAAAAAUUACCCUCAAUUUGUAUUUUUAUUUUUAAUAUGUUAACAAAAAAAUUACAAGUUGAAUCAAGGAUUGGUUUGGGGUAUAUUAUAUGACUCCUAACUCUAUAUGUUUUACAUUAAAAAUUAAAAAUUAAAAAUUAAAAAUUACCCUUAAUUUGUAUUUUUAUUUUUAAUAUGUUAACAAAAAAUUUUCAAGUUGAAUCAAGGAUUGGUUUGGGGUAUAUUAUAUGACUCCUAACUCUAUAUGUUUUACAUUAAAAAUUAAAAAUUAAAAAUUACCCUUAAUUUGUAUUUUUAUUUUUAAUAUGUUAACAAAAAAUUUUCAAGUUGAAUCUUACUUGAUUAGUCUUAAUGUAAAUUUUAUUGAUAUCAAUUUUUUAUAAUUUUUAUUAUUCAUAAUUUUAGACAUUAUGAAUUAAAACAAUACAAUACAUUGAAUAGUAUGUAUAAUCAAGUAGGCACUCAAAAGAGAUGGAGGAAGUAUGUUUUUUGCUUAUUAGCCUUUAAGUAAAUUUAGUCGUUUUUGAUGACUCAUUAUGCUAGUAUAAGGUGUGCAAAGCUCAUCUGUAUAUAUACGUGGAUUCAACUUAAUUGUCAUUUUUUUUUUUACUCCUUCCUAUUCUUAUUAGAUGAUUUAUUUAUUUUUUUCAUGCUAUUCACCAAUUAUACUAGUUUAUAUUUUAUUCUCACACAAAUUGUUGUGUGAUACGGUCUUAUUGUGAGACGUUCUUCAAUUAUGAGUUGAAUAACUCAAUUUACAAUUUUUAAUAAAUAAGCUUCUUGUUUUGAAAUCGUUUCACCGAGAGCCGGUCUUUCACAAGAGUAGCUAUUAUUCUCAAUAUAUUAAUAAGUGUAUGUGAUCUUGUUUGAUUCGUCUCAAUGUAUAUUUUAUUAUCAUUAACUUUUUAUAAUUUUUAACAAACA
Long non-coding RNA from Amaranthus tricolor (Joseph's coat), 3652 nucleotides. RefSeq lists it as uncharacterized. The record is from RefSeq and is a predicted model, not a curated record. The transcript is spliced from 3 exons. Lineage: Eukaryota; Viridiplantae; Streptophyta; Magnoliopsida; Caryophyllales; Amaranthaceae.